GACGAACGCUGGCGGCGUGCCUAAUACAUGCAAGUAGAACGCUGAAGCUUGGUGCUUGCACCGAGAGGAUGAGUUGCGAACGGGUGAGUAACGCGUAGGUAACCAGCUAGGUAGCGGGGGGUAACUAUGGGAAACGAUAGCUACUACCGCAUAAGAGUAGAUGUUGCAUGAAACUUGCUUACAAGGUACAAUGGCCGCACUACCAAGUGGACCUGCGUUGUAUUAGCUAGUUGGGGAGGGAACGGCCCACCAAGGCAACGGUACAUAGCCGGCCUGAGAGGGUGAUCGGCCACCCCUGGACUGGGACCCCGCCCAGACUCCUUCGGGAGGCAGCAAUAGGGAAUCUUCGGCAAUGGACGGAAGUCUUACCGAGCAACGCCGCGUUAGUGAAGGAGGUUUUCGGGUCGUAAAGCUCUGUUGUUAGAGAAGAACGAGUGUGAGAGUGGAAAGUUCACACUGUGACGGUAUCUUACCAGAAAGGGACGGCUAACUACGUG
Molecule: ribosomal RNA, 497 nt
Filed under: uncultured bacterium
Lineage: Bacteria
Description: partial 16S ribosomal RNA
Rfam family: Bacterial small subunit ribosomal RNA
Source: RNAcentral